UAAAGGCUUGGUCCUGACCUUUCUAUCAACUUUAACCUAACUUACACAUGCAAGUAUCCGCACCCCCGUGAGAAUGCCCCACAGUUUCCCCCGCAAGGAAACAAGGAGCUGGCAUCAGGCACAAUACACAUUAGCCCAAGACGCCUUGCUUAGCCACACCCUCAAGGGAACUCAGCAGUGAUAGACAUUAAGCCAUAAGUGAAAACUUGACUUAGCUAAGGUUUAGUAGGGCCGGUAAAACUCGUGCCAGCCACCGCGGUUAUACGAGAGGCCCAAGCUGAUAGACAUCGGCGUAAAGCGUGGUUAGGAUGAUUUAAUUAAUUAGAGUCGAAUGUUUUCAAGGCUGUUAUACGCACCCGAAAACUAGAAGCACAACAACGAAAGUGACUUUAAAAGGUCUGAACCCACGAAAGCUAAGGCACAAACUGGGAUUAGAUACCCCACUAUGCCUAGCCUUAAACAUUGAUAGGAAAAUACACCCCUAUCCGCCAGGGGACUACGAGCAUAAGCUUAAAACCCAAAGGACUUGGCGGUGCUUUAGAUCCACCUAGAGGAGCCUGUUCUAGAACCGAUAACCCCCGUUAAACCUCACCUUUUCUUGUUCAACCCGCCUAUAUACCACCGUCGUCAGCUUAUCCUGUGAAGGACCAUUAAUAAACAAAAUUGGUAGAGCCCAAAACGUCAGGUCGAGGUGUAGCGUACGGAAAGGGAAGAAAUGGGCUACAUUCUCUACAAUAGAGAACACGAAUGAUAAACUGAAAUAAAUAUCUGAAGGAGGAUUUAGUAGUAAGGCGGAAAUAGAGUGUCCCCCUGAAACUGGCCCUGAAGCGCGCACACACCGCCCGUCACUCUCCCCAAGCUUGAUUAUACAAUUAAAUAAAACAUUUUAGAUGCAAAGGGGAGGCAAGUCGUAACAUGGUAAGUGUACUGGAAAGUGCACUUGGAUAAAU
RNAcentral lists this non-coding RNA (950 nucleotides) under Chaetodermis penicilligerus (prickly leatherjacket). Its description in RNAcentral is "12S rRNA". It matches the Rfam family "Bacterial small subunit ribosomal RNA". Lineage: Eukaryota; Metazoa; Chordata; Actinopteri; Tetraodontiformes; Monacanthidae. The record is from RNAcentral.